Molecule: unclassified non-coding RNA, 354 nt
Filed under: soil metagenome
Description: partial contains 5.8S ribosomal RNA, internal transcribed spacer 2, and large subunit ribosomal RNA
Rfam family: 5.8S ribosomal RNA (bases 1-120)
Source: RNAcentral
GAUGAAGAACGUAGCGAAAUGCGAUAAGUAAUGCGAAUUGCAGAAUUCAGUGAAUCAUCGAAUCUUUGAACGCACAUUGCGCCCAUUAGUAUUCUAGUGGGCAUGCCUGUUCGAGCGUCAUUAAGUCCACUUAAGCCCUGCUUAGUGUUGGGAGACUGCUCCAGCGGUGCUACCCUGUAGCUACCCUGCAGCUCCUCAAAGACAGCGGCGGAGUUGUGGUAUCCUCUGAGCUUAGUAACUUGUUCUAGCUUUCGAGUACACCACUUCCCCUGCCGUAAAACCCUUAAUUUUUAAUGGUUGACCUCGGAUCAGGUAGGAAUACCCGCUGAACUUAAGCAUAUAAUAAGCGGAGGA